AUGGGUCAUAUGAUGAUCGUAAGCAUAGUUCAACUGAUAAUCUUUGUGAUUAAGAAACUUUUGUCUUUCGCUCCUAUCUGAUGAUCCAU
RNAcentral lists this small nucleolar RNA (89 nucleotides) under Manihot esculenta (cassava). RNAcentral describes it as "Small nucleolar RNA snR60/Z15/Z230/Z193/J17". It matches the Rfam family "Small nucleolar RNA snR60/Z15/Z230/Z193/J17". Rfam says of the family: The members of this family belong to the C/D class of snoRNAs which contain the C (UGAUGA) and D (CUGA) box motifs. Most of the members of the box C/D family function in directing site-specific 2'-O-methylation of substrate RNAs. The record is from Rfam by way of RNAcentral. Lineage: Eukaryota; Viridiplantae; Streptophyta; Magnoliopsida; Malpighiales; Euphorbiaceae.